RNAcentral lists this long non-coding RNA (417 nucleotides) under Helianthus annuus (common sunflower). Lineage: Eukaryota; Viridiplantae; Streptophyta; Magnoliopsida; Asterales; Asteraceae. The record is from RNAcentral.
AUGUCAUCAUUUGCCGACCAUAGCUUCUCAAAUGGUUGUAUAUUGGUGAAGAGAUUAACACAAGACUACCCUCACUAGGUAAAGCUAAAGAUGAUAUGUAAUGACACCAAACAAUCUGACACAUCAGCUUCCACGCCAUCAUUUUGACCCGGUAAACAGUGAUGCAGAUUAGCAUGGAGGUUGUCUGACAAGAACUCACACUUUGAAUCUAUUUAGGGAGGUAAUAUAUGUACAUAUUAGUUGAGGCAAUCAUAACUGGUCCUCUAAUGUACUUGCAGCUAGCACCUUGUAUUCUUUGGAAAGUCUGUGUUGCUGGUUAAAAACACUUGAGUUUAUUCUUUUCUCACCAUAACUUGUUAAUCAGAAGGCAGGAAAUCCGAUGGUGAAGACGGAUUGCGCAAGCUAUAAACGGAGGUA